Molecule: long non-coding RNA, 894 nt
Organism: Diospyros lotus (date-plum)
Lineage: Eukaryota; Viridiplantae; Streptophyta; Magnoliopsida; Ericales; Ebenaceae
Exons: 2
Source: RefSeq, a predicted model, not a curated record
UUAGCGGGCAAACCCAUUAAUUAAGCAUACAUAUUCUCAAUUCACUUGCAGAGAAUUAAGCAUACAUAUUCGGCUGAUUCAAUCCGAAUCUUCCCGUCAUUCCAAAUCUUCAAUUUUUUCCUAUCAAAUCCAAAUCCUUGCACAGAAUUAAGCCUCCCACUAUUCACUUGUGCAAACCCAAUCCACGACUCUACGAUCAUUUAGCACGAUUCUGUGCAAACUCACUCCAAGCACCCCAAUCCUUAGGUUCUUUAGCACGAUUCUGUGUGAACCCUUGCAUCCCCGAUUCUUCGCUGUGGCUUGCUCCAAGAACCCCUCUAGCAGCAUCUCCACCGUCUCCUGAUCUGACUCAGCCAGCUUCCUCGGCACCCAAAAGAGGCAGUUCGGACUCCUCCUGAUUCUUCUCAACGUCAAUCCGGAAGAGAACUCCAACCGCCUAAGCUCUCCGGGCUUCUCUGUCUCUGCGGCAACGUCGUUGUCGCUGGCUCGGCACCAUGGUUCCUUAUAGUUUUCGGGCAUACUGGUCAAUACCAAAUCCAAAUUCAUAGCUCUUCAAUUUGGGAAGUCAUCUUCUACAUUGGUCGAAGAUUCAGAUCCAGGUCUCCUUUGGCGGUACUAUUCAUUCGACUCUAAUUCUCAACAUGUUAUUGAGUUGACUCUAACAAUUUUCUAUCAAUUGCACUAUGGUAGUUAAUUAACUUGUUAGGACCACUGCAAAUUGGCUCUAUAUUGAAGUUUACAGACAUGAAGUUAUAUAUUGCCUGGGCCCAUACUUGGACCAAAUAACAUUUGAUAAUAGAAGUACUUGCGGCUAACUUGAUAUGAUUCUAAUAAUACAUCCAUCAAAUAUUUAUUAUAAAUUAAACGAAUACAAGAACCUGUGUUUUUCUUAUU